UUCUCUGGUUUUUUUCAAAUCGCAAAAAUCUUUUGCUUUUUACUAAAGAUUUCCGUGGACAGAAACUUAUAAAAAUGUGCAUCAAUUUUUUUGAGGUCCUGUUUCUGUAGAACU
Rhineura floridana is the source of this 114-nucleotide small nuclear RNA. RefSeq annotates it as U5 spliceosomal RNA. NCBI's taxonomy places the organism in Eukaryota, Metazoa, Chordata, Lepidosauria, Squamata, Rhineuridae. The transcript has a single exon. The record is from RefSeq and is a predicted model, not a curated record.